This is a long non-coding RNA of Nomascus leucogenys (northern white-cheeked gibbon), 359 nucleotides long. RefSeq lists it as uncharacterized. Lineage: Eukaryota; Metazoa; Chordata; Mammalia; Primates; Hylobatidae. The record is from RefSeq and is a predicted model, not a curated record.
AAGCCAUCCUCCCACCUCAGCCUCCUGAAUAGCUGGGACACAGUUGGUUGAAUCCAUGGAUGUUUGGAUCCAGCCCCUGGAUACGGAGGGCUGACUUUAAUCUUUCCCCGUCCUUAAGUAUCCUGUGAAGACAUAAAUGAUGUGUGCCAUGUCUUACACCAGCAACUGUGCACCCUUGGCCUGGGCACAUGUGGCAACUGUCCAUGCAUCAUGUUGUUUAGGUGACUUGCUGUUUCUGUCCCUACUGCUGUUGGCCCAACAAGGAAAUAUGAACUAGGAAGACUGAGCGCGGGAAAUGAUAAAGCAAACUGUGGACUUGAAUGAAAGGCAUACAGAAGAAGGUCCUCACCAGAUGCCAG